This 954-nucleotide small RNA is filed under the name uncultured Nocardioides sp. Its description in RNAcentral is "bacterial SSU rRNA". The stretch from base 1 to 472 matches the Rfam family "Bacterial small subunit ribosomal RNA", at positions 1064 to 1533 of the family's 1533-position model. Lineage: Bacteria; Bacillati; Actinomycetota; Actinomycetes; Propionibacteriales; Nocardioidaceae. The record is from RNAcentral.
GUCGUGAGAUGUUGGGUUAAGUCCCGCAACGAGCGCAACCCUCGUCCUAUGUUGCCAGCACGUAAUGGUGGGGACUCAUAGGAGACUGCCGGGGUCAACUCGGAGGAAGGUGGGGAUGACGUCAAGUCAUCAUGCCCCUUAUGUCCAGGGCUUCACGCAUGCUACAAUGGCCGGUACAAAGGGCUGCGAAACCGCAAGGCAGAGCGAAUCCCAAAAAGCCGGUCUCAGUUCGGAUUGGGGUCUGCAACUCGACCCCAUGAAGUCGGAGUCGCUAGUAAUCGCAGAUCAGCAACGCUGCGGUGAAUACGUUCCCGGGCCUUGUACACACCGCCCGUCACGUCACGAAAGUCGGCAACACCCGAAGCCGGUGGCCCAACCCUUGUGGAGGGAGCCGUCGAAGGUGGGGCUGGCGAUUGGGACGAAGUCGUAACAAGGUAGCCGUACCGGAAGGUGCGGCUGGAUCACCUCCUUUCUAAGGAGCAUGUUGGCGGCCUCCUGGGGCCGUCCAGUCGUCGCUGCUCGAGCGUACGUCUCGAGGCGACGAUGCUCACUAGUGGAACGUCGACUAGUUGGCACUCAUGUCUGACGAUCUCGGUCAGUACUCCUGGCGCAGCCAGGGUGGAACCCCCGAGUGAGGGACCUGAGUGCCUAGCACGCUGUUGGGUCCUGAGGGAUCGAGCCGGUCGGCACGCCCUCUGGACCAUCCUCCCGCCGAACGACUCACCCUGCUGGGGCAAGUGCCCUGGUUCGGGAGCACGCGGCGACCCAGUGGGAUGGAUUCCGCCCGUACCUUGAGAACUUCAUAGUGGACGCGAGCAUCAAAGUAAGAUCUCUUUGUAGUGACAAGCUACUAAGGGCACAUGGUGGAUGCCUUGGCAUCAAGAGCCGAAGAAGGCCGUAGGAGCCUGCGAAAAGCCCCGGGGAGUUGGCAACCGAGCUGUGAUCCGGGGAUUG